RNAcentral lists this ribosomal RNA (279 nucleotides) under Heterocapsa rotundata. RNAcentral's name for it is "partial Eukaryotic large subunit ribosomal RNA". It matches the Rfam family "Eukaryotic large subunit ribosomal RNA", at positions 169 to 433 of the family's 3401-position model. Lineage: Eukaryota; Dinophyceae; Peridiniales; Heterocapsaceae. The record is from RNAcentral.
CGAGGUUUUCCAAUAAGUCUUCUGGAAAGGAGCGCCAGAGAAGGUGAGAGCCCUGUGAUUGGAGAUUGCGUGACGAAGCGGGGGAGAGAACGAGAAGUGGCGUGGUAGGAGUAGAGCUUCUUGGGAUUGAAGCUCGAAGGGGCAGGUGCACUCCUGCUAAUGCUAAAUAUGAGUUGUAAACCGAUAGAGAACAAGUACUGUGAAGGAAAGAUGAAAAGGACCGCUGGCGCGGAGUGAAAAGAACCUGAAACCGGACAAGGGGAACCGAAGGAAAGGAGU